This 578-nucleotide ribosomal RNA is filed under the name uncultured bacterium. RNAcentral's name for it is "bacterial SSU rRNA". It matches the Rfam family "Bacterial small subunit ribosomal RNA", at positions 505 to 1081 of the family's 1533-position model. The record is from RNAcentral.
GUGCCAGCAGCCGCGGUAAUACGUAGGGGGCAAGCGUUGUCCGGAAUGAUUGGGCGUAAAGGGCGCGUAGGCGGCUCGGUAAGUCUGGAGUGAAAUUCCUGCUUUCAAGGUGGGAACUGCUUUGGAUACUGUCGGGCUUGAGUGCAGGAGAGGUAAGUGGAAUUCCCGGUGUAGCGGUGAAAUGCGUAGAGAUCGGGAGGAACACCAGUGGCGAAGGCGACUUACUGGACUGUAACUGACGCUGAGGCGCGAAAGUGUGGGGAGCAAACAGGAUUAGAUACCCUGGUAGUCCACACUGUAAACGAUGAAUGCUAGGUGUAGGGGGUAUCGACCCCUUCUGUGCCGGAGUCAACACAAUAAGCAUUCCGCCUGGGGAGUACGGCCGCAAGGUUGAAACUCAAAGGAAUUGACGGGGGCCCGCACAAGCAGCGGAGCAUGUGGUUUAAUUCGAAGCAACGCGAAGAACCUUACCAGGUCUUGACAUCCAGUAAAACUUGUAGAGAUAUAAGGUGUGCUUGCACAUACUGAGACAGGUGGUGCAUGGGUUGUCGUCAGCUCGUGUCGUGAGAUGUUGGGUU